CCUACGGGAGGCAGCAGUCGAGAAUCAUUCACAAUGGGGGAAACCCUGAUGGUGCGACGCCGCGUGGGGGAAUGAAGGUCUUCGGAUUGUAAACCCCUGUCAUGUGGGAGCAAAUUAAAAAGAUAGUACCACAAGAGGAAGAGACGGCUAACUCUGUGCCAGCAGCCGCGGUACUACAGAGGUCUCAAGCGUUGUUCGGAAUCACUGGGCGUAAAGCGUGCGUAGGCUGUUUCGUAAGUCGUGUGUGAAAGGCGCGGGCUCAACCCGCGGACGGCACAUGAUACUGCGAGACAAGAGUAAUGGAGGGGGAACCGGAAUUCUCGGUGUAGCAGUGAAAUGCGUAGAUAUCGAGAGGAACACUCGUGGCGAAGGCGGGUUCCUGGACAUUAACUGACGCUGAGGCACGAAGGCCAGGGGAGCGAAAGGGAUUAGAUACCCCAGUAGUC
Molecule: ribosomal RNA, 446 nt
Filed under: uncultured bacterium
Lineage: Bacteria
Description: partial 16S ribosomal RNA
Rfam family: Bacterial small subunit ribosomal RNA
Source: RNAcentral